This 5084-nucleotide long non-coding RNA is filed under the name Homo sapiens (human). RNAcentral's name for it is "novel transcript". The record is from RNAcentral. Lineage: Eukaryota; Metazoa; Chordata; Mammalia; Primates; Hominidae.
CUUUUCCGUCUCUUUCUUUUUAUGUCACCAGGGGAGGACUGGGUGGCCAACCCAGAGCCCCGAGAGAUGCUAGGCUCUUUCUGUCCCGCCCUUCCUCUGACUGUGUCUUGAUUUCCUAUUCUGAGAGGCUAUUGCUCAGCGGUUUCCGUGGCAACAGUAAAGCGUGGGAAUUACAGAUAAAUUAAAACUGUGGAACCCCUUUCCUCGGCUGCCGCCAAGGUGUUCGGUCCUUCCGAGGAAGCUAAGGCCGCGUUGGGGUGAGACCCUCACUUCAUCCGUUUUGUCUGCAGCUCGAUUUCUUGGUUCCCUGACUGGGAAGCGAGGUGAAUGGCGGAUGGUCAAGGCAGCUCCUUAGGCGGCUUAAACCUGCCCUGUGGAACAUCCCUGCAGGGGACUCCAACCAGCCCGAGCAACACGGAUCCUGAGGGCGCUCCUGGUUAGGCAUUUGCCCCACUGGGACGCCUCGCCAGAGCACUGUAUGGCAGGCCCCCAUGGAGGAUCAACGCAGUGGCUGAACACCGGGAAGGAACGGGCACUUGGAGUCUGGACAUCUAAAACUUGAAUUUCUAGUAAACCAGCACCAGCCUGAAGAUCACAUUCUCAUCGAAAGGUGGAAAGAAGAAAAACUCGAGCCAGCCUGGAAGGACCCUACCUUGUGUUGCUAACCACCAAGACUGCUGUUCGUACAGCAAAAAAGGAUGGACUCGUCACACCAGAAUCAAGAAAGUGCCACCCCCUCCAGAGUCAUGGGCCACAGUCCCAGAGGAAAACCCUGCCAAACUAAAGCUACGAAAAAUCUCUUUUCAUCUAUUCUAUUACUCUUCUUUCUUUCCUCGUGCUAUUGCUGACCAUCUAGUUAUUAACAUAACCAAGUCAAUUUCACCUCAAACUAUUGCAUUUAAUGCUUGCCUUGUUAUACCCUGUGGGGACUUGCCAAGUCAAAGACAGCUCUCUACUUCAGAAAAGUACUUCUGUCCCUCCUGACUCUCCUCAGACUGGACAUUAGUAAACUAGGACCAUUUAAUCCAGGGAGAUUUCGAUAAAGACCCCAGUGCCAACCAGGAGUCUUGUCCCCUGAUGUAGAGUUUUUAUGCCGUAGUUGGUCCAACGUUCUGUGGACCACUAAAGAGCAAGAAUGGACUGCCCCAACCAGUUUUUGUAAUUUCCUAAAACCAUACAUUCGUUUUACUAGAGGAUCAUAGAAGUUAAAGAGUUAAAACAAACUUUACCAAUGAAGACAGGAUACCAAGAUGCAAAUGCCUGGUUAAAAUGCAUCAAAUAUUCCAUCUGCACGUUAAACAAAAGCAAUUGUUAUGCUUGUGCACAUGGCAGGCCAGAGGCCCAGAUUGUCCCCUUUCCACUAAGGUGGUCCUCCAGUCGACCAGAUGUGGGCUGCCUGGUAGCUCUUUUCCAGGAUUCUACAGCCUGUAUUAAUAAGUCAUGCCAAGCUCUCUCUGCUAUAUCCCAAAGUCCAGCACCCUGCGGGUCAGCCCCCGAGGGCCAUCCAUCCUCCAUCUCCCAACACUAAGUUCACUUCAUGUCUCUCACAACAGGGAGGAAACUUAGCGUUCCUUGGAGACCUGAAAGGAUGCAGUUAGCUUAAGAAUUUUCAAGAGCUUAUCAAUCAGUCAGCCCUUGUUCAUCCCCGAGCAGAUGUGUGGUGGUAUUGUGGUGGACCUUUACUGGGCACUCUGCCAAAUAACUGGAGUGGCACUUGUACUUUAGUCCAAUUGGCUAUCCCUUUCACCCUGGCAUUUCAUCAACCAGAAGGAAAAAAAGAAAGACAUUGUAAAGCGAGAGAAGCCCCUUAUGGGUCUUUCGACUCUCAUGUCUAUUUAGAUGCAAUUGGAGUCCCACGAAGAAUACCAGAUCAAUUUAAAGCUUGAAAUCAAAUAGCUGCAGGAUUUAAGUCAAUAUUUUAGUGGGUGACAGUUAAUAAAAAUGUAGAUUAGAUAAACUACAUCUAUUACAACCAACAACAACGAGGUUUUCAUGAGUUAAAAGAAAACCUCAUGUUGGUCCCAGCCCUGAGGCUACCUGACCUGACAAAACUCUUUACACUCUAUGUGUCAGAAAGAGAAAAAAUGGCAGUUGGAGUUUUAACCCAUACUGUGAGGCCCUGGCCAAGGCCAGUGGCCUAUCUCUCAAAACAACUAGACAGGAUUUCCAAAGGCUGGCCCCCAGGUCUAAGGGCCCUAGCAGCAACAGCCCUGUUAGCACAAGAAGCAGAUAAACUAACCCUUAGGAAAACCUGAAUAUAAAGGCCCCCCAUGCUGUGGUAACUUUAAUGACUACCAAAGGACCUCAUUGGUUACAAAUGCUAGAUUAACCAAGUACCAAAGCUUGCUAUGUGAAAAUCCCCACAUAACCACUGAAGUUUGCAACACCCUAAACCCCACCACCUUGCUCCUGGUAUCAGAGAGCCUAGUUGAACAUACUGUGUAGAGGUGUUGGACUCAGUUUAUUCUAGCAGGCCCAACCUCCGAGACUAUCCUUAAACAUCAGUAGACUGUGAGGGGUACGUGGACGGGAGUAGCUUCGCCAACCCCUGCAAAGUGACUCUGAAGAAGACGACAAGCUCUGCUCCAGUCACACCCAGAAGCUGACUGGUCCACGCACGGCCGAAGCAUGAGAAAACUCAUUGCGGAACUCAUUUUCCUUAAAAUUUGGACUUUUACAGUAAGGACUUCAACUGACCUUCCUCAGACUGAGGACUGUUCCAGUGUAUACAUCAAGUCACUGAGGUAGGACAAAAGGUUGCUACAGUCCUAUUAUUUUAUGGUUAUUAUAAGUGUACUGGAACUCUAAAAAUAACUUGUUUGUAUAAUGUUAUUCUGUACAAGGUAUGUAGCCCAGGAAGUGACCAACCUGAUGUGUGUUAUGACCCAUCUGAGCCUCCCAUGACCACGGUUUUUAAAAUAAGAUUAAGGACUGAGGACUGGUGGGGGCUCAUAAAUGAUAUGAGUAAAGUGUUAGCCAAAACAGAAGAAAAAGGGGUGCCCAAACAAGUCACCUUAAAAUUUGAUGCCUGUGCUGUCAUUAAUAGUAAUAAGUUAGGAAUAAAGUGUGGUUCUCUUAAUUAGAAAAGAGGCUAUAUGGCAGAAAAUAAGUACAUCUGUCAUAAAUUAGGACUGUGUGGAAAUAAAUGUAAAUACUGGUCUUGUGUCAUUUAGGCCACUUGGAUUUAAAAAAAAUGAAAAGGAUCCAGUCCACCUUCAGAAAGGAAAAAAAUGGCCCUUCCUGUGCUAAGGGACAAUGUAACCCCUUAGAGCUAGUAAUAACCAAUCCCCUUGAUCCUCGCUGGAAAAAAGAGUAGCGUGUGACCUUAGGAAUCAAUGGGGCUGGACUGAAUCCCCGAGUAAAUAUCUUGGUUCGAGGAGAAGUUUACAAAUGCUCUCUUGAGCCAGUGUUUCAAACUUUCUAUGAUGAACUAAAUGUGCCAAUAACAGAAUUUCCAGGAAAAACAAGAAAUUUGUUUUUGCAAUUAGCCGAGCAUGUAGCCCAGUCUCUCACUGUCACUUCAUGUUAUGUAUGUGGAGGAACUGUAAUAGCAGAUCAAUGGCCAUGGGAAGCCCGAGAAUUAGUACCUACAGACCCAGUUCCUGAUGAAUUCCCAGCUCAAAAGAAUCACCCUGAUAAUUUCUGGGUCCUAAAAGCCUCAAUCAUUAGACAAUACUAUAUAGCAAGAGUGGAGAAGGACUUCACCCUUCCUGUAGGAAGACUACAUGGUGGAGUUCAAACCACACAGAGAAAAAUCCAUUCAGUAAAUUUCCAAAGUUGCAGACCGUUUAGGCCCACCCAGAAUCCCACCGGGACUGGACAGCCCCCACUGGGCUAUACUGGAUAUGUGGACAUAGAGCCUACACUAAGCUGCCUGACAAGUAGUUGUGUUAUUGGCACUAUUAAACCAUCUUUCUUCCUACUGUCCAUAAAAACAGGAGAACUCCUGGGCUUCCCUGUCUAUGCUUCCCGUGAAAAGCAUAGCUAUAAGAAAUUGAAACAAUGAUAAAUGGCCCCCUGAGAGAAUCAUACAGUAUUAUGGGCCUGCUACUUAGGCACAAGAUGGCUCGUGGGGAUACCGGAUCCCCAUUUAUAUGAUCAACUGAAUCAUACGGUUACAAGCUGUCUUAAAAAUAAUCACUGCAACCGGCAGAGCCUUGACUAUUCUGGCCCAGCAAGAAACUCAGAUGAGAAAUGCUAUCUAUCAAAAUAGAUUAGCUCUCGACUACUUGCUAGCAGCUGAAGGAGAGGUCUGUAGGAAAUUUAACCUUACUAAUUGCUGCCUACACAUAGAUAACCAAGGGCAAGUAGUUGAAGACAUAGUUAGAGAUAUGACAAAAGUGGCACAUGUGCCCGUGCAAGUGUGGCAUGGAUUUGAUCCUGGGGCCAUGUUUAGAAAAUGGUUCCCAGCGCUAGGAGGAUUUAAAACUCUUAUAAUAAGAGUUAUAAUAGUAAUAGGAACCUACUUACUGCUCCCUCGUUUGCUACCUGUACUUCUUCAAAUGAUAAAAAGCUUCAUCGCUACCUUAGUAUACCAAAAUGCAUCAGCACAAGUGUACUAUAUAAAUCACUAUUGAUCUGUCUAGCAAGAAGACAUGGGUAGUAAACAUGAAACAACUCCUGCUAUUGAGUGAGAGUCUCAAAGUGGGGGAAUAAGGGAGGAGACCACCCCUCAUAUUGUCUUAUGCCCAAUUUCUGCCUCCAAAGAAAGAAAAAGUAAAAACUAAAAGGCAGAAAUGAAAUCCACAAGCAGACAGCCCGGGCGCCACACCCUGGGACUGGUAGUUGAAAAUCAAUCCCGGACCUAAUCGGUUAUGUUAUCUAUAGAUUACAGACAUUGUAUAGAAAAGCAUUGUGAAAAUCUCAUUCCUGUUUUGUUCCAAUCUAAUUACUGGUGCGUGCAGCCCCCAGUCACGUACCCACGUACCUCCUGCUUGCUCAAUCGAUCACGACCCUCUCACGCACACCCCCUUAGACUUGUGAGUCCUUAAAAGGGACAGGAAUUGCUCACUCGGGGCGGGGGCUCGGCUCUUGAGACAGGAGUCUUGCUGAUGCCUCCGGCCUAAUAAACCCCUUCCUUCUUU